RNAcentral lists this ribosomal RNA (1377 nucleotides) under metagenome. RNAcentral's name for it is "bacterial SSU rRNA". It matches the Rfam family "Bacterial small subunit ribosomal RNA". The record is from RNAcentral.
AGAGUUUGAUCCUGGCUCAGGAUGAACGCUGGCGGCGUGCUUAACACAUGCAAGUCGAACGAUCCUUCGGGAUAGUGGCGGACGGGUGAGUAACGCGUGGGAAUCUGCCCUUAGGAGGGGGAUAACGGCUGGAAACGGCCGCUAAUACCCCAUAUGCCGAGAGGUGAAACGAAUUUCGCCUGAGGAUGAGCCCGCGUCUGAUUAGCUAGUUGGUGGGGUAAAGGCCUACCAAGGCGACGAUCAGUAGCUGGUCUGAGAGGAUGAUCAGCCACACUGGGACUGAGACACGGCCCAGACUCCUACGGGAGGCAGCAGUGGGGAAUUUUCCGCAAUGGGCGAAAGCCUGACGGAGCAACGCCGCGUGAGGGAUGAAGGCCUCUGGGCUGUAAACCUCUUUUCUCAAGGAAGAAGAACUGACGGUACUUGAGGAAUAAGCCACGGCUAAUUCCGUGCCAGCAGCCGCGGUAAUACGGGAGUGGCAAGCGUUAUCCGGAAUUAUUGGGCGUAAAGCGUCCGCAGGCGGCCUUGUAAGUCUGUUGUUAAAGCGUGGAGCUCAACUCCAUUUAAGCAAUGGAAACUACAAGGCUGGAGUGUGGUAGGGGCAGAGGGAAUUCCCGGUGUAGCGGUGAAAUGCGUAGAUAUCGGGAAGAACACCAGUGGCGAAGGCGCUCUGCUGGGCCAUAACUGACGCUCAUGGACGAAAGCCAGGGGAGCGAAAGGGAUUAGAUACCCCUGUAGUCCUGGCCGUAAACGAUGAGCACUAGGUGUCGGGGGAAUCGACCCCCUCGGUGUCGUAGCCAACGCGUUAAGUGUUCCGCCUGGGGAGUACGCACGCAAGUGUGAAACUCAAAGGAAUUGACGGGGGCCCGCACAAGCGGUGGAGUAUGUGGUUUAAUUCGAUGCAACGCGAAGAACCUUACCAGGGUUUGACAUCCUGCGAAUCCCUUGGAAACGAGGGAGUGCCUUCGGGAGCGCAGUGACAGGUGGUGCAUGGCUGUCGUCAGCUCGUGUCGUGAGAUGUUGGGUUAAGUCCCGCAACGAGCGCAACCCACGUCUUUAGUUGCCAGCAUUCAGUUGGGCACUCUAGAGAGACCGCCGGUGAUAAACCGGAGGAAGGUGUGGAUGACGUCAAGUCAUCAUGCCCCUUACAUCCUGGGCUACACACGUACUACAAUGCUACGGACAAAGGGCAGCAAGCUCGCGAGAGUUAGCAAAUCCCAUAAACCGUGGCUCAGUUCAGAUCGUAGGCUGCAACUCGCCUACGUGAAGGAGGAAUCGCUAGUAAUCGCAGGUCAGCAUACUGCGGUGAAUACGUUCCCGGGCCUUGUACACACCGCCCGUCACACCAUGGAAGUUGGCCAUGCCCGAAGUCGUUAC